CGGAUCUCUUGGCUCUCGCAUCGAUGAAGAACGCAGCGAAAUGCGAUAAGUAAUGUGAAUUGCAGAAUUCAGUGAAUCAUCGAAUCUUUGAACGCACCUUGCGCCCUUUGGUAUUCCGAAGGGCAUGCCUGUUUGAGUGUCAUGA
Molecule: ribosomal RNA, 145 nt
Filed under: Cryptococcus sp. JCM 11356
Lineage: Eukaryota; Fungi; Basidiomycota; Tremellomycetes; Tremellales; Cryptococcaceae
Description: 5.8S rRNA
Rfam family: 5.8S ribosomal RNA
About the family: 5.8S ribosomal RNA (5.8S rRNA) is a component of the large subunit of the eukaryotic ribosome. It is transcribed by RNA polymerase I as part of the 45S precursor that also contains 18S and 28S rRNA. Functionally, it is thought that 5.8S rRNA may be involved in ribosome translocation.
Source: RNAcentral